This 468-nucleotide ribosomal RNA is filed under the name uncultured bacterium. RNAcentral's name for it is "partial 16S ribosomal RNA". It matches the Rfam family "Bacterial small subunit ribosomal RNA", at positions 28 to 507 of the family's 1533-position model. The record is from RNAcentral.
GACGAACGCUGGCGGCGUGCUUAACACAUGCAAGUCGAACGGAAAGGCCCUGCUUUUGUGGGGUGCUCGAGUGGCGAACGGGUGAGUAACACGUGAGUAACCUGCCCCUGACUUUCGGAUAACUUCAGGAAACUGCGGCUAAUACCGGAUAGGAGCUCUUGCUGCAUGGUGGGGGUUGGUAAGUUUCGGCGGUUGGGGAUGGUCUCGCGGCUUAUCGGCUUGUUGGUGGGGUAGUGGCUUACCAAGCCUAUGACGGGUAGCCGGCCUGGGAGGGUAGCCGGCCACAAUAGUACUGAGGUACGGCGCAGACGCCUACGGGAGGCAACGGUGGAGAGUAUUGCGCAAUGGGGGGAAGCCUGAUGCAGCGGCGCCGCGUGCGGGAUGACGGCCUUCGGGUUGUGAACCGCUUUCGCCUGAGACGAAGCGUGAGUGACGGUAAUGUAUAAAGAAGCACCGGCUAACUACGUG